This 465-nucleotide ribosomal RNA is filed under the name Vreelandella stevensii. RNAcentral describes it as "partial 16S ribosomal RNA". It matches the Rfam family "Bacterial small subunit ribosomal RNA", at positions 338 to 795 of the family's 1533-position model. Lineage: Bacteria; Pseudomonadati; Pseudomonadota; Gammaproteobacteria; Oceanospirillales; Halomonadaceae. The record is from RNAcentral.
CCUACGGGGGGCAGCAGUGGGGAAUAUUGGACAAUGGGGGCAACCCUGAUCCAGCCAUGCCGCGUGUGUGAAGAAGGCCCUCGGGUUGUAAAGCACUUUCAGUGAGGAAGAACGCCUGGUGGUUAAUACCCAUCAGGAAAGACAUCACUCACAGAAGAAGCACCGUCUAACUCCGUGCCAGCAGCCGCGGUAAUACGGAGGGUGCGAGCGUUAAUCGGGAUUACUGGGCGUAAAGCGCGCGUAGGUGGCUUGAUAAGCCGGUUGUGAAAGCCCCGGGCUCAACCUGGGAACGGCAUCCGGAACUGUCAAGCUAGAGUGCAGGAGAGGAAGGUAGAAUUCCCGGUGUAGCGGUGAAAUGCGUAGAGAUCGGGAGGAAUACCAGUGGCGAAGGCGGCCUUCUGGACUGACACUGACACUGAGGUGCGAAAGCGUGGGUAGCAAACAGGAUUAGAUACCCUGGUAGUC